This 429-nucleotide ribosomal RNA is filed under the name uncultured soil bacterium. Its description in RNAcentral is "bacterial SSU rRNA". It matches the Rfam family "Bacterial small subunit ribosomal RNA", at positions 26 to 448 of the family's 1533-position model. The record is from RNAcentral.
AGAGUGAACGCUGGCGGCAGGCCUAAUACAUGCAAGUCGAACGGCAGCACGGCAGAGCUUGCUCUGUGGGUGGCGAGUGGCGGACGGGUGAGGAAUACAUGGGAAUCUGCCCAGUCGUGGGGGAUAACGUAGGGAAACUUACGCUAAUACCGCAUGCGCCCUUCGGGGGAAAGCCGGGGACCUUCGGGCCUGGCGCGAUUGGAUGAGCCCAUGUCGGAUUAGCUAGUUGGCGGGUAACGCCCACCAAGGCGACGAUCCGUAGCUGGUCUGAGAGGAUGAUCAGCCACACUGGAACUGAGACACGGUCCAGACUCCUACGGGAGCAGCAGUAGGGAAUAUUGGACAAGUGGGCGCAAGCCUGGAUCCGAGCCAUCGGCCGCGUGAGUGAAGAAGGCCUUCGGUUGUAAAGCGUUCUUUCGUACCGGAAAG